This 476-nucleotide ribosomal RNA is filed under the name uncultured soil bacterium. RNAcentral's name for it is "bacterial SSU rRNA". It matches the Rfam family "Bacterial small subunit ribosomal RNA", at positions 26 to 506 of the family's 1533-position model. The record is from RNAcentral.
AGAUUGAACGCUGGCGGCAUGCUUUACACAUGCAAGUCGAACGGUAACAGGCCGCAAGGUGCUGACGAGUGGCGAACGGGUGAGUAAUGCAUCGGAACGUGCCCAGUCGUGGGGGAUAACGCAGCGAAAGCUGUGCUAAUACCGCAUACGAUCUAUGGAUGAAAGCGGGGGGACCGAAAGGCCUCGCGCGAUUGGAGCGGCCGAUGUCAGAUUAGCUAGUUGGUGGGGUAAAGGCCCACCAAGGCGACGAUCUGUAGCUGGUCUGAGAGGACGACCAGCCACACUGGAACUGAGACACGGUCCAGGACUCCUACGGGAGGCAGCAGUGGGGAAUUUUGGGACAAUGGGCGCAAGCCUGAUCCAGCAAUGCCGCGUGCAGGAGAAGGCCUUGGUUGUAAACUGCUUUUGACGUAACGAACGGUCUGGUUAAUACUCGGCUAAUGACGUACGUAAGAAUAAGCACCGACUAACUACGU